GUCAAGAUAUCAACAAUAUCUGGCUAGUAGACGAAUAAAACUCUGCCACGUGACAAUUCAGUCAGAGAUAGAACAAAAGAAGUUUCGGCCGUGACACAGGCAAAAUUACUAGUGAUGGAAUUCUAACAAUAUGCAGCUGGCGCCCGGCGUGCUACACCGCGGGAAACUUACAAUAUGAAGCAUUCGAAGGCACGUAUGUGGUGGCUAUUCUGUAUCUUGGUGCAGAUAGUCGGUGCUAUAGCCUGCAAGAAUAGGAAGGGUGCGUGCCGACCGCCGCGGUGUCCGGGCGGCUGCAAACCCAAGUACUGGUGACGGCCGCUCGACGCUGCUCGCGUACACACGUGCUCCACCCAAUAUCACAGCUUGACGUAAUCGACGGUUCGCGGUUUGAAAUGAUAACGCUGGCGCAGGCGGCGUGGUGGGUGUGGUGGUGCGUGGUGUGCCUGGCGGCGGCGGCGCGCGGCUGCAAGAAGAAAACUAUCUGCCGUCCGCCGCCCGGCGGCCGGCCCGGCUGCGGCGGUCGCGGCAUGUGAUGCGUCCGUUGAAUACCACUGGGUGGUAAUCAAAUUGUAGCCGUACCCGCUGGGUGCACUGCGACCGAUGUGAACGGACGACAGCAGCCACACAUACAGACGUUAUUUACGUUUACAAAUCC
This is a long non-coding RNA of Galleria mellonella (greater wax moth), 655 nucleotides long. RefSeq lists it as uncharacterized. The record is from RefSeq and is a predicted model, not a curated record. NCBI's taxonomy places the organism in Eukaryota, Metazoa, Arthropoda, Insecta, Lepidoptera, Pyralidae. The transcript is spliced from 4 exons.